This 50-nucleotide transfer RNA is filed under the name Leucauge celebesiana. Its description in RNAcentral is "partial tRNA-Met". The record is from RNAcentral. Lineage: Eukaryota; Metazoa; Arthropoda; Arachnida; Araneae; Tetragnathidae.
UGUAUAGUCAGCUAAUUAAGCUAAUGGGUUCAUACCUCAUAAAUGAGUUA